GGGUUGUGAGGUUAAGCGACUAAGCGUACACGGUGGAUGCCCUGGCAGUCAGAGGCGAUGAAGGGCGUGCUAAUCUGCGAUAAGCGCCGGUAAGGUGAUAUGAACCGUUAUAACCGGCGAUACCCGAAUGGGGAAACCCAGUGUGACUCGUCACACUAUCAUUAACUGAAUCCAUAGGUUAAUGAGGCGAACCGGGGGAACUGAAACAUCUAAGUACCCCGAGGAAAAGAAAUCAACCGAGAUUCCCCCAGUAGCGGCGAGCGAACGGGGAGUAGCCCAGAGCCUGAAUCAGCAUGUGUGUUAGUGGAAGCGUCUGGAAAGGCGCGCGAUACAGGGUGACAGCCCCGUACACAAAAGCGCAUGU
This 364-nucleotide ribosomal RNA is filed under the name Salmonella enterica. RNAcentral describes it as "partial 23S ribosomal RNA". It matches the Rfam family "Bacterial large subunit ribosomal RNA", at positions 1 to 392 of the family's 2925-position model. The record is from RNAcentral. RNAcentral also lists the same sequence under 1 other name. Lineage: Bacteria; Pseudomonadati; Pseudomonadota; Gammaproteobacteria; Enterobacterales; Enterobacteriaceae.